This 477-nucleotide ribosomal RNA is filed under the name uncultured bacterium. Its description in RNAcentral is "partial 16S ribosomal RNA". It matches the Rfam family "Bacterial small subunit ribosomal RNA", at positions 30 to 507 of the family's 1533-position model. The record is from RNAcentral.
AUUGAACGCUGGCGGCAUGCCUUACACAUGCAAGUCCAACGGUAACAGGUUAAGCUGACGAGUGGCGAACGGGUGAGUAAUGUAUCGGAACGUGCCCAGUCGUGGGGGAUAACUGCUCGAAAGAGCAGCUAAUACCGCAUACGACCUGAGGGUGAAAGCGGGGGAUCGCAAGACCUCGCGCGAUUGGAGCGGCCGAUAUCAGAUUAGGUAGUUGGUGAGGUAAGGGCUCACCAAGCCGACGAUCUGUAGCUGGUCUGAGAGGACGACCAGCCACACUGGGACUGAGACACGGCCCAGACUCCUACGGGAGGCAGCAGUGGGGAAUUUUGGACAAUGGGCGCAAGCCUGAUCCAGCCAUGCCGCGUGCGGGAAGAAGGCCUUCGGGUUGUAAACCGCUUUUGUCAGGGAAGAAAAGGUUCUGGCUAAUACCUGGGACUCAUGACGGUACCUGAAGAAUAAGCACCGGCUAACUACGUG